RNA transcript from Ostrea edulis (European flat oyster), 4097 nucleotides. It is a transcript of the gene named kinesin-associated protein 3-like, with no coding region annotated. The record is from RefSeq and is a predicted model, not a curated record. Lineage: Eukaryota; Metazoa; Mollusca; Bivalvia; Ostreida; Ostreidae. The transcript is spliced from 17 exons.
AGGGUUCAAAUAUUUUGACAUGGCUGUCAGUGAAGUCUGAAAAGUCGAUAUGUGUAUAGUUUCUUAUAAAUUUAACGGGAAUCGGUGAUUGUUCUUCGUGUUUAUGUAUAGGAAUUAAAAAAUUAUAACGAUGAUGCAAGCAGAAGAUGCUAGGUAUUUGAAAAGGAAAGUGAAAGGAGGAAACAUUGAUGUGCACCCCACAGAAAAAGCUUUGGUUGUGAACUAUGAGCUGGAGGCAACCAUCUUGGGUGAACUGGGUGAUCCCAUGCUGAGAGAAUGGAAAGAAUGCCAAAAAAUCAUAAGGGUGAAGAGUUUGAAUGAUAACAGCGAUUUGGCCAGUUUGGCUAAAGACAUUAUUGAUAAAUGUAAACUGAUACACCCUACAAAACUACCAGAGGUGGAACAGCUGCUGUACUAUCUACAAAACAGAAAGGAAACGGGCCCAUGUAAAGCAUCUGGAAAAACACAACUGCAUGAAAAGCCAGAAGUACCAACAUAUGAUGCCACAGAAAUUGAUGAAGUGGCCAAUAUUAAUGAUGUUGAUGACUACAUGGAACUUCUUUAUGAAGAUGUUCCAGAGAAAAUCCGUGGAUCAGCCCUGCUGCUACAGUUGGCACGAAAUCCAGAUAACUUGGAGGAAUUAUUUCAAAAUGAAACAAUUGUUGGAGCAAUAGCCAGAGUGUUACGAGAAGACUGGAGAAAAAGCACAGAACUGGCCACAAACAUUGUGUACAUCUUCUUCUGUUUCUCCAGCUUUACACAGUUUCAUGGAGUCAUUGUUCAUUUUAAGAUUGGGGCUUUAUGUAUGAAUAUCAUAGAGCAUGAGUUAAAGAAAUAUGACAUGUGGAACGAGGAACUGCAGAAAAAGAAGAAAGCUGCAACUUCAGAUAAAGACAGAAAGGGAAAGGAGGAAUACGAGAGAAGCCUCCAGAAAUACGAGGGUCUGGUCAAAAAGCAGGAACAGCUCUUACGAGUGGCCUAUUACUUGUUGCUGAAUCUGGCAGAGGACCUGAAAGUGGAAAUGAAGAUGAGAAACAAGAGUGUUGUGACUUUCCUUGUGAAGACAUUGGACCGAGACAACUUUGAAUUGCUGAUACUGGUGGUGUCUUUCCUCAAGAAACUCAGCAUAUUUAUAGAGAACAAAACAGAAAUGGCUGAGCUGAACAUUAUAGAGAAGUUGACAAAGUUAGUGCCAUGUGACCAUGAAGACCUGUUGAACAUAACUCUGAGAUUACUGGUUAACCUAUCCUUUGACACUGAACUACGCAGUAAAAUGUUCAAGUUUGGGUUACUACCAAAACUUGUAGGAUUGAUGCAGAAUGAGAAUCACAGACAGAUUGUUUUGAGCAUUUUGUAUCACAUUAGUAUGGAUGACAAAUCAAAGUCAAUGUUCACGUACACCGACUGUAUACCAAUGGUCAUGAAGAUGCUGCUUGAAAGUGGAGAAAAUGUAGAAAUGGAGUUAAUGGCUUUAUGUGUUAAUCUGGCAUCCAACAAACGUGUAGCAGCCAUGAUCUGUGAAGGUCAAGGUCUAAAAAUGUUGAUGAAGCGAUCGUUUAAGUACAAACACCCACUUCUGAUGAAAAUGGUGAGAAAUCUAUCUCAGCACGACGGACCAACCAAAAAUCUCUUUGUGGACUACAUCAGUGACUUGGCACAGGCUUUACUGAAUGAAGACGAAGAAGACUUUGGUCUGGAGUGUUUGGGAAUUCUGGGUAAUCUGACAAUCCCUGAUCUGGAUUAUGAACUGAUUCUAAAGGAGUAUGACAUGAUUCCAUGGAUUAAGAAUCGACUUGAACCAGGUGCUUGUGAAGAUGACUGGGUGUUGGAGGUGAUUAUCCUGGUGGGGACAGUGUGUAAUGAUGAUGCCUGUGCCAAGAUGCUGGCAGAAGCAAACAUUAUCCAUUCAUUGAUUGAGCUUCUAAAUGCUAAACAGGAAGAUGAUGAAAUGGUCUGUCAGAUUGUAUACGUCUUUUACCAAAUGAUCUUCCAUGAGUCAACCAGAGAAGUCAUCAUAAAAGAUACCCAGGCUCCAGCUUACCUUAUUGAUUUGAUGCAUGACAAGAAUUCAGAAAUCAGGAAAGUUUGUGACAAUACUCUGGACAUGAUAGCGGAAUUUGAUGAGGAAUGGGCCAAAAAGAUUCAAUUAGAGAAGUUCCGCUGGCACAAUUCUCAGUGGCUAGAGAUGGUGGAGACCAGGCAGGUCGGGGACAUGGGAGAUCCUUACAUGUACCCAGAUGAGGGGUAUGACCCAUACCUACAAGAUGCUGAUAUUCUAGACAGACCAGACUUAUUUUAUGAUGUUCAAAACCGAGAGAAAGUAACCACAAACUUUCAUUCCUUCAAAACUUUGGAGGAGGAUGUUAGUAACCUGUUAUCCUCAACCAGUAAAAGGACAGUAAUUUCACUUUAUAUACAAAAUUUUCAUUUUAAGUGGGAGCCUUUGUCAAGUCAUGCUAUUUUGCACACAAAAGCAUGGAAAUUACAUGCCAAUAUCUCCUAAUUUCCUUUUAAAUUAAGAUAUAAGAUCAUACCAAACACUUUGAUUAGACAAUCUGUAAUUGUAUAUAUCUUAGUGAAAAGUUAGAAGAAUAUUUUUCUCAAGUAAUCAAGGAUUCGUGUAGUACAAUGCACUAAUAUUGGUAUUCAUUAAUUAGAUGUUCUGACAAGUACCCGUUUAACUUGUUUCUGGUUGACAACCCUAGUAAACAUAAAUGUAUGAGAAUGGGAAGAGGCUUUUUGUGCUGCAUGAAAUUAUUUUGUGCAUUACAGUAAAACUCUGAUAUAGCGAAUUUCUGGGGACCCUCUAUAAAAAUUCGCUAUAAGCGUAAUUCGCUAUACAUUUAUAGCGAAUUCAUAAUUCAAAUAUAACGAAUUCGUUAUAUAACUGAUUUGUUCUACAUGUACAUGUAUAUCAAUUGUAGAAGAAAGCUGCAAUCAAUAUACUUACGCUUGUAUCGUCUUUAAAUGAAAUGAAGCCUAUAUAUUUUCGAGAAGAAAUAUUUUUAUACAAGAAAUAUACACAUUGAUUUAUAUAUGAUAAUUUAUCUUGAUGGAUUAUUAAGUCAUGCAAGAACAUGUCGAAAGACAAAUGUCGACAAAAUUUUGCGCAAUACAUACAUGUACAGUCUAUUGCAAUUGUCAUUUACUUGUUGCUUUACACAAAUAAAGGAGUGUACAAUAAAAGAAAUGGAAUCAAACUUCAAAUCUAAUUAACGAGAAUAGUAAACAAUACCGACAAUAUAUUUCCUAAAUGUAUGUGUAAGUAUUGUUUUGCGUUAACCUUUUUGGAAAAAAUACAAACAGAAAUUUUGUAAUAAGUGUGGAUCCUUUAUGUCAAUGGAAAACGAUUGUUAAAAAUCACAAAGAGUUUAAAAUGAAAAAAAUAAAUUCGUUAUAAAAGGUGAUUUUUACAUUCAUUUUUAAUUCAAGGGGAAUAGGAAUUUACUUCGUUAUAUCUGGAACUUCGCUAUAUCCGUGUUCGUUAUAGACGCAGAUUUUUAUAUAGAAUAUAUAAAGAAUUUGCCGGGGAAAUCGUUUUCACUUCGCUAUAGCCGUAAUUUCGCUAUAUCCGUGUUCGCUAUAUUCGAGUUUUACUGUAUUAUGUCUAAUGAAAUACAGCAAUGCUUGAAUUUUAGAGAGAAAGAAAAGAUUACCUGUAUCUUAAACAUGCUUAUCCCACUAUUUUUGAAUGUUUUCCAUAUCAUUAUAUUUUUGGACAAAAUAUGUUUUUGUUUGCAAGCCAAUGAUUCCUAAGCAUGAUUCAUUAAUUACAUGUACCAGGUACAUGAAUAUGAUUAUUGGAUUUGAGUUGGGUGAAUGUAUUUUCAGUAGUAUUUUUCAUAAGUAGAUUAAGAAAUAUCAACAAAUUUGUAAUACUUUUCCAAGUAAUAUGAUUAUAUUCCACUUCCUUUACAUGUCAAUUUGAUGUCAAAAUGUAAUUUUCAGAUAUGUAUGAAAAUGCUUACAUUAUGGAUGGGCACUUGACACCAGAGUACAUUGAUGAGAAUGGCAUGUACGAUGGACCACCUUAUGCUUACGGGUAUGGUAACCCCAUGGAAGGCGGGUACGAUCCCUACGAAAGACCGGAAUCACAC